GCCAAAUAAAAAUGCAAUUCAAUAUAUACAGCCUCAUGCAACACACAUUUCUAAAAUAAUCAUACAAUGCAUUACAUGAGCAAAACAUUAAAGCAAUUCAAAUCAACAACACUUAAACAAUCAAAUCCAAAAUACAAAACAUUUAUUAAUUAAUCCAACAACUACCAAAACACUUAAACAAUCCUAAAGUUUUUUCAUUAGAAUCUACAGGUGUCCGAGAUUUCUUUUUAGCAGUUGACUUCGAACUCUUAUCAGGACGAGGCCAAUCACCAUCACCACCGAAUGUCAUCUGUAUACAAGUUUACAUCAAAACAUAUAAAAAUCAAGUCAUUAGUUCAUAUUUCAUGUGACUACACUUACUAUUUUCAAGUUACUAAUACACAUUUCAAGAUAAAACAAUUAAACCAUUUUCAAAUAUCUAAUUGACAUUUUAUUUCACUAUACUUAACCAUUUUCAAAUAACUAGUAGACAUUUCAAGUAACUACUCUUAACCAUUUUCAAAUAACUAAUUCACAUUGCAAGUCACCACACUUAAAAUAUUUUCAAGUCACUAAUACACAUUUCAAAUCAUUACACUUGACUAUUUUCAAUUAACUAAAUCACACUUCAAGUCAAUAUACUUAAUCAUUUUCAAGUGACUAUACUUCAUUAUUUUAAAGUUAUUAGUACACAUUUCAAGUGACUACACUUAACCAUUUUCAAGCAUCAAGUUCACAAUUUUAAGUAACCACACUUAACCAUUUUUAAGUCACAAGUUCACAUUUUCAAGUAACAACACUUAACCCUUUUCAAGUCACUACAAUUAAUAAUUUUCAAAUAACUUAUUCACUAGUACACAUUUCAAGUCACUAAACUCAAAUCAUUUUCAAAUAGCUAAUUAACAUUUCAAGUCACUAUACUUAAGCAUUUUCAAGUAACUACACUUAACCAUUGUCAAAUAACUAGUAGACAUUUCAAGUCACUACACUUAACCAUGUUCAAAUAACUAAUUCACAUUUCAAGUAACUACACUUAACCAUUUUCAAAUAACUAGUAGACAUUUCAAAUCACUAAACUAAACCAUUUUCAAAUAACUAAUUCAUAUUUCACGUCACUACACUUGACCAUUUUCAAAUAAUUAAUUCACAUUUCAAGUCACUACACCAUUUUCAAAUAACUAAUUGACAUUUCAAGUCACUACACUUAAACAUUCAAUUUAAGUUACUAUACUUAACCACUUUCAAGUAACUAAUUCACAUUUCAAAUACCUAAACUUAACCAUUUUCAAGUCACAAGUUUGCAAUUUUAAGUAACUACACUAAACCAUUUUCAAGUCACUACACUUAAUAAUUUUCAAGUAGCUUAUUCACAUUUCAAGUCACUACACCAUUUUCAAAUAACUAAUUGACAUUUCAAAUAAUUACACACAACCAUUUUCAAGUCAUGUACUAGCAUUUCAAGUCACUACACUUAACUAUUUUCAAUUAACUAAUUCACAUUUUUAAGUCACUAUACUUAACUAUUUUCAAAUAACUACACAUAAUCAUUUUCAAGUCACUAGUACACAUUUCAAGUCACUACACUUAAUCAUUUUUAAAUAACUAAUUCACAUUGCAGGCCACUAUA
This 1606-nucleotide long non-coding RNA is filed under the name Capsicum annuum. Its description in RNAcentral is "long non-coding RNA (CANN_LNC003015)". The record is from RNAcentral. Lineage: Eukaryota; Viridiplantae; Streptophyta; Magnoliopsida; Solanales; Solanaceae.